This 479-nucleotide ribosomal RNA is filed under the name uncultured bacterium. RNAcentral describes it as "partial 16S ribosomal RNA". It matches the Rfam family "Bacterial small subunit ribosomal RNA", at positions 28 to 507 of the family's 1533-position model. The record is from RNAcentral.
GAUGAACGCUGGCGGCGUGCUUAACACAUGCAAGUCGAACGAAGCACCUUGAUUUGAUUCUUCGGAUGAAGAUCUUGGUGACUGAGUGGCGGACGGGUGAGUAACGCUUGGGUAACCUGCCUCAUACAGGGGGAUAACAGUUAGAAAUGACUGCUAAUACCGCAUAAGACCACAGCACCGCAUGGUGCAGGGGUAAAAACUCCGGUGGUAUGAGAUGGACCCGCGUCUGAUUAGGUAGUUGGUGGGGUAACGGCCUACCAAGCCGACGAUCAGUAGCCGACCUGAGAGGGUGACCGGCCACAUUGGGACUGAGACACGGCCCAAACUCCUACGGGAGGCAGCAGUGGGGAAUAUUGCACAAUGGGGGAAACCCUGAUGCAGCGACGCCGCGUGAGCGAUGAAGUGUUUCGGUAUGUAAAGCUCUAUCAGCAGGGAAGAAAAUGACGGUACCUGACUAAGAAGCACCGGCUAAAUACGUG